GGAAGAGAGAGAGAGAAAGUGUUAUGAUUCAUGUCCUGUCCAUGCUGUGUUAAGCACUCAUUCAGUUCACCUGCCACGCCUGAUUGCUUACCUGUUCCACCUGGGCCUUGCCCUACUUAAACACCCCUCAGCCUCUGCUUCCCUGCCAGAUUAUCGACAGCCACGAGCCAGUAGAGAUCCAGCGUUUCCUGCCAAGCCUUCUGUGUUUCUUCGACCCCUCCUUCUGACCACGGAUUUACCCCUCCUGCCAAGCCCUUCACGGAUCCCUUCUAUUCUGGAUUUCUGGACCCUGACCCAAGCUCUGCCUCACGACCACCGAUUACUGCCUGCCCCUCUAAGCUAAGUCUGCUCUCUGUCCUCCUGUGUAUGACCUCUGCCUGUUUUUCGACAAAGUCUCUGGGUGCUGCAUCUCGGAUCUCCCCGUGGAGAUCUUCCUUGCCUCCACAGAAGCCUGUUCCUCUGGUUUCCUGCAUCUCCCUGUCAUCAGACCCUCUGUUCCUCUGCUCCACCCGUCCACUGCUCUACAGUGCUGUGUUUGAUGACCUCUCCCUUAGCUGAAACCAGUAUCUGAAAAAAUAAACUUUGUUUUCCUUUUUAUA
Molecule: non-coding RNA, 599 nt
Organism: Poecilia reticulata (guppy)
Lineage: Eukaryota; Metazoa; Chordata; Actinopteri; Cyprinodontiformes; Poeciliidae
Source: RefSeq, a predicted model, not a curated record